GCUGUUGUAGCUCAGGAGGUAGAGCACUUCCUUGGUAAGGAAGAGGUCGGCGGUUCAAGUCCGCUCAACAGCUCCA
RNAcentral lists this transfer RNA (76 nucleotides) under Tindallia sp. MSAO_Bac2. RNAcentral describes it as "tRNA-Thr". It matches the Rfam family "tRNA". From Rfam's summary of the family: Transfer RNA (tRNA) molecules are approximately 80 nucleotides in length. Their secondary structure includes four short double-helical elements and three loops (D, anti-codon, and T loops). Lineage: Bacteria; Bacillati; Bacillota; Clostridia; Peptostreptococcales; Tindalliaceae. The record is from RNAcentral.